GUAUCUCUCAGCUUACGUGAUCACUAGUUCUCCUGACACGACAAGACGCACUAGCACAAGACAAGGGGAAGACGCUGACUAAAUACACACAGAAGGGUAAGGGCACAGGUGCACACAAUUAGAAUCAAGGGCACAGGGGCACACAAUUAGGAUCAGGGAAGACAAUCAGACUGACGCACAGAGGAAGGGCCCACAAACUGAAACGAGAGGAGAGUUACUUAUCAAAAUAAAACAGGAAGUGACAAUACAACAAAAAAGACAAGACAAUAACAACCCA
Long non-coding RNA from Syngnathus acus (greater pipefish), 277 nucleotides. RefSeq lists it as uncharacterized. Lineage: Eukaryota; Metazoa; Chordata; Actinopteri; Syngnathiformes; Syngnathidae. The transcript has 2 exons. The record is from RefSeq and is a predicted model, not a curated record.